This is a long non-coding RNA of Manis pentadactyla (Chinese pangolin), 565 nucleotides long. RefSeq lists it as uncharacterized. The record is from RefSeq and is a predicted model, not a curated record. The transcript is spliced from 4 exons. Lineage: Eukaryota; Metazoa; Chordata; Mammalia; Pholidota; Manidae.
CAAGCCUCCGUCAUGGUCUGCGGAGGAAACUGUCUCCAGGCUCUGAGGGUUACCUCGGGAGGAAGCCUUCGAUGCUGUCCCAGCACCCAGGAUGCGGCAGGACCCUACAGCCCUAUGGACCCCAUAAAUGGCCCCGGCUCAGAUUCUUAACAGUUGGAAGGGAUUCGAAAGGUCAUCUGAAAACCAUCUCCCUGCGGAUGGUGGUUUGAGGAGCGCCCUGAAGAACAUUCCUGGAAGCAGGUCCCUUUUCAUUCUCCUCACUGUUCCUCAAGCUCCCUGGACCUUUGAGUGCUUGGAGCCCCUGUUGCUGCCAAUCCUUGUUUUCUGAAAGGGAUGCCAAUGAACCUGGGCAAUUUCCCUGACUUGAUUCAUGCAUAAUGGACCCAAAGAAGGACUUAUUAGAAAACAAAUGCAUUUAAAUGCUUUCCUGACAUGAAUCAUUUAUUGAAGACGGAAUUGCAGGCUGUGAGUGCCCAAAAUAAGUUGACUUACAGUAUCCUUAUUUCUAGACAGGUCUGAAAUAUGACCACAGACUGUUGAAGUACUCAGAUCUGACCAGUGCUUU